GGGAGAUAAGAGAUGGGAAAGCAAACAGCGAGAGCUGAUUGGGGCUAAGCAGAGAGAAAUCAAAUUCUCAUUGCAGCUUCUCAACAGAUAAAAUCCAAAUCAAAGCAAAUGUGAUGAAAUGGCAGUGUUAGAAAUGUAUUGUAACGGGAAGGAUCGUGUGCUGCUAACUGUGCUUCCAAGUGUGCACAAGCCAAAUGCUUGUGACAUGUGUGAGGCCAGGCGGGCCUGCACCCAAAGGAGCCCGGCUGCCCCCAAAGGAGCCCAUCUGGCCCUAAAGCAGCCUGGCUGCCCCAUGUGGAAGCUCAGGGGCAGUCAGGAGGGUCAUUGCCAUCACUGCCUUCACUGCCCACACCUGGGGGAAUUCCACCCCCUCGAAGCAGGGAGCAAGAAAGGGAUAAAAAGGGUGGGAAGGGCAGGCUCCUGCUUCUUGAGGGGUGGUCAGCAGGGGGGACUGCUCUGGUGGGUACCUGGAGUAUUUGCCCUGAGGUUUGGUUUGUGCAUUUUUGUUGUCUUCCUGCAGCCACCAGGGCCCUCGCUGCUGCCUUGUGUGUGCAGUGCUGUGACUGAACAUAACCUGCUGCAGGUGUGGUGUCCUUGUACCCUCCUGGCAACUGGCAAGCAGGAGACUUUUUUACAGGAGUGUGUGUCUGGCAUUCCUCUGAAAAGCUCUCGCACAACUUAUGGUGCUGUGUCAGAGCGGUUUGAUUCGCGCUGUACCUGACAGCUGACUGGGGCAUCUUACCCGAAUUUGUCUGUAUGAGGAGCCAAGUGAAGCAGGUUCUGGAUGUCAGCUCGUAGCCCGCAGGAAAACUCAUUAAGGGAUGAGCUGCACCGUGGACUGUUUUGAAAGCAGAGGUUCUCACAAAGAAGAUCAUUAUUCAACAAAACGGUUUCUCCGAGCAGUAAACAAAAUAUAAUCAGGCUUGUGACGUGAAUGGCACAUUGUAAAGCGGUGUCAGCUGUGGGUGGGACCUUCAAACAGAAAGAGCAUCUGCCCGGCUAAGUGGAAGCGUGCUCUCGGGGAGCCCUCCUUCCUUCAGGCACUGCACACAGAGAGGAAAGCGGGGAUCAGAGGGGGUCUCCGGCUAAUGAAGGGAGGCGUGCAGGAGUAAACAACACUGGCUCCUGCCCCCCCGUGUUUCCUUUUAACACUGGAGGGGCUGCCUUCUUCAGCUGAGCACAGCAUAAAUAAGUCAUGGUUCUGGUAACGUUGAACCCAAAGAAAGAGAUGCACAGCUUGGGGAGAUCUCCAGAGAGACAACAUGCAUCUGCCUGGCAUGGACAGAGGGAACAUCAGUCCUUACAGGAUUACUUUUAUUGUUCUUAACUGAUGUGUCAGGGAAAUGAAGCAGGAAGAUGAACUCCAAAGGCUAGCUGGAAAACAACCACCACAAACGACCCCCAAUGUGUAUUUUAAGGUUUUGAAAUCGGUGGAGUCAGCCUAACCACCUCGGAGAAGGAAAAGCAGCCCCAAGGGCCAAGGCUGAAAUGUCAGAGCAGUGCCCUGGGGAAGGCCCCGAGGUGCAGAGGGACUGCAGGGACACCCUGCAGGCUGUGGGAGCAUCGGGUGCCUCUCGGAGCCUGGGACUCGUGUCUGGUGGGGUUAUGAGGCUUUUAACAAUUCCUGCUGCUUUCAGCUCCUUCCGAGCCACAAGCUUCUUUUUACUAAACAAGGAAUUAACUUCCUGUAGGGUUUUCUGUCUUAAAGGGUGGAUGCCACA
Molecule: long non-coding RNA, 1721 nt
Filed under: Anas platyrhynchos platyrhynchos (common mallard)
Lineage: Eukaryota; Metazoa; Chordata; Aves; Anseriformes; Anatidae
Description: lncRNA (ENSAPLG00000019433.1)
Source: RNAcentral